This 253-nucleotide ribosomal RNA is filed under the name uncultured bacterium. Its description in RNAcentral is "partial 16S ribosomal RNA". It matches the Rfam family "Bacterial small subunit ribosomal RNA", at positions 524 to 776 of the family's 1533-position model. The record is from RNAcentral.
UACAGAGGUCCCAAGCGUUGUUCGGAUUCAUUGGGCGUAAAGGGUGCGUAGGUGGCGCCGUAAGUGGGGUGUGAAAUCCCGGGGCUUAACCCCGGGACUGCAUUCCAUACUGCGGUGCUUGAGGACUGGAGAGGAGACUGGAAUUUACGGUGUAGCAGUGAAAUGCGUAGAUAUCGAGAGGAACACCAGUGGCGAAGGCGAGUCCCUGGACAACUCCUGACGCUGAGGCACGAAAGCUAGGGGAGCAAACAGG